AUUGAACGCUGGCGGCAGGCCUAACACAUGCAAGUCGAACGAGUGGCGGACGGGUGAGUAAUGUCUGGGAAACUGCCUGAUGGAGGGGGAUAACUACUGGAAACGGUAGCUAAUACCGCAUACCAUCGGAUGUGCCCAGAUGGGAUUAGCUAGUAGGUGGGGUAAAGGCUCACCUAGGCGACGAUCCCUAGCUGGUCUGAGAGGAUGACCAGCAACACGGGAACUGAGACACGCUCCAGACUCCUGCGGGAGGCAGCAGUGGAGAAUAUUGGACAAUGGGCGCAAGCCUGAUACAGCCAUGCCGCGUGUAUGAAGAAGGCCUUCGGGUUGUAAAGUACUUGCAGCGGGGAGGCGUUACCCGCAGAAGAAGCACCGGCUAACUCCGUGCCAGUAGCCGCGGUAAUUC
Molecule: ribosomal RNA, 406 nt
Filed under: uncultured bacterium
Lineage: Bacteria
Description: partial 16S ribosomal RNA
Rfam family: Bacterial small subunit ribosomal RNA
Source: RNAcentral